UUUAGUAUUUGAAUGCCUAAUUUCAUUAUCAAAUCCUUUCCCAACUAGUUAGUCCCUGCCUCAGGUACAUACAAUAAUUGCCCAGUGAUCAUUCUAUCCCUAGUCUCAGCCUGGUGUCCCCAAAAAGCGGUGCUGUUAUCCCAGUCCCUUCUACCCCCAUCACAUUUAGGGUUUCAUUAAUUAAUAUAAGCCCUGAUACUUUACAGGCCAGUAAUGACCUAACUGCCUCAGUGUAUUGGGUUCACAUGGCAAGGUUCUGGUAGCAGGGUGGGGCUGCACUGGCAGCAUCUGUGAGAAGAAUCCAGCAGCUGCCCCGUGUUAGGUAAGGGCCAGUUUCAGCUGGCUCCAAAGGGGCCCACUGCUGCCCAGAGCCAAGCCAUGAGCAAUGCAGUUUGUGCCUCUGUGAGGGCACAUCCAAGAAACAGAAAAAAAAACAACUGUUGCGGAGCCCGUUUAGGAGCAGGUGAUCUGGGGAGGGGGGAUAGACCCCAGGGUGUCCCAAAGCCAGCGCAACCCACUCCUAACAAACAGACCCCACGACACAGACCUGCACCUGGAGCACCAAAGAACUUGUUGGUUUUUUUUUUUUUUUGCUGCCUGUGGAGAAACCCACACAGGAGCAGCCCAGGAAGGUCGGCACCCCACGAGAGGGACCAGAGCACCAGAGCAGGGGGGAGAGUGUCCGUGAAGGAGCAGGGGGAAGGAAGCACCACAGACUGACUGCAGCCCCUGCUCCUGGUCCCCCCGCACCACUCAGGGCAGGGAAAAGGUGGAAAAGAGUGAAGAGCGUGGAGGUGCCCCAGCUUGUUUCUCACUGCUCCAGCCUGUCAGCAACAGGGAGAAAGAAGCUGCAAUAAUUGCAACAUUCUGAUGGCAAAUACAAAACACACUAUGUCAAAGAAGGUAUCACAGAAACUAAGAGGAGGACAAAAGAGGAUAAAGGAGAAGAAAAGAAUGAAAAAGAAGUCCAAGCUUCUACUGAGAAACAGUCAGGACCACAACAGAGAGUGAUGUUCUUGGAGCUGGGAACCAUAUCAUACUAGUACAAGGGUACAUUACUGCAGUGCCUGGAAAAUGUAGAAAGCUUUGAAACAACGUUUGUCUUCUCUAAAAAGGUAUAUUCAGCAUUGACAAAAUGAGCAAAACUAUCACAAAUCUGAGGCAGCAUCUGCCCCAAGAAGACGUACAUUUAUGAAUCCUGACCUGACAUGAAUGUUAAUAAUGAUAUCAUCAAUAAGAAGAAAGCUUCUCCAGGAAGGGUAAUUGUAUAUGCAGAAAGAGGUAAAGGAUUUGUGUUCAAUUCAGAUUUAUUCUUUUUGUGCCACCUUAUACUCUCUCCUGCUUCUGAUUAAGUGUUUAAUUACUAAAACAAUCAUAUUGACUCCUAGCACAUGGAUACAGUUUUACACAGAGGGCUUACUUCUCUAUUGAGAGCAACAUGUGGUAGAUAUUUAUUCCAAAUGUCAGGUACAACCUUUAUUUUCACAAUGGCACUCAAGCAUGGUGCUCAGAACAGAAACAAACUGAGUUUAUUUAGUAACUGAUGAGUUAUUCCACCCCAUCAGCAAUAAUAAGUUAACAUUAUUAUAAUGAAAUAGAAUGGCCUUCCAUUUUUCAGUGCUUCAAAAUUUCCCUAUUCUAAUUAAUAAACUACUUUGAAAUAAUCUUUUUUAUUUCAGAUGUAUUCUACUUUAUUUCAGAUAAUUGUUAGUUUUAAUCAUAUAAUAACUUAAAAAAAAAAAAAAAGGAAGAAUAAAUAUCCCAACCUACUGAUAUUUUUAAUGACUCCAGAAGAGCUGAAUUUUUUUGUUUGAAUUUGUUGUUUUAUCAAAUAUUAUUUUCCCCUACACAACAGCCCAGUAGGUGCUAAUCCAAGUCACAUAAAAAUAAAUAAAUCUUAAUUCCUAAGCACACAAUUAUUUUUUUAAUAGACUCUAUUAUAAUAGGACAGACUGUUCAAGUUGAAAAGAGGUCUCAACUAUCAUCAGAGCUGCUCAAAAUCAAACCCUCUAGUGUUAGCACUUCAAUAAACAGGCUUGCGAUUGAAUUUAAGUACUUAAAUAUUAACAUAAAAUUAUUCUAGAUCAAAACGUGCCAAUGAGCUUUGACUCCAGGCCCAUAGUUAAAUCUUUCUGAAAGACAUAAUCAAUUUUGUGUAUUUGUUUUGUGCAACCUUUGUUUCACUUGUUAGCCUAAGUAUUCAUUUCUUUUCAAAGUUAGCAAGACAACACAUAGCAAUGUCUUUGAAAAUACCACUGUGCUUACAAACGAGAUUUCACAUCAUUUCUGACACUUGAUAUACUGACUCCAAAAGGCAAUAUUCAUGGGAAUGGUAAGCAGCAUUUACAACUUUGUAACAUUAGUCUCAAAAGUAUGCCUGACUCAUGUUCACUUGAAAGAGGUUUCAGCUCUAGGGAAAAUUACAAAAUGUAUUGCUGUCUAGGACUCUCCUAACAAUGCCAAUAUACAAAGACAUUUGUGUUUUUUAUAGAACAUUACAGAAAUAUAACAUUUUCUAUACAGGAAGAUUAAAAAUUGUAUGUGAGAUUUUAUGGAGACCUGCAACAAGCCACUAAGUCUUAAGAAAUAUUCAGUUAUGAUAAACUCUUUUAAUUAAACUCCUUUAUAUAAACUUCAUGGUACAUUUUAUAAGAAAAGAAUAGCAGAUUUUUAAGGUGGUCUAAAAUGCAUGCUCCCUUCAUCAUCUUCUGCGUGCAUGAAAUUUUAUGCUAUGAUUUUUUUUUUUUAAUAUAUCUAAUUGGUAUUGAAAUUAUACUUGUGAUUUUUUUUUUGUUUUAACUAGCAUAUAUUCAAAUAGAAUAAUUAAACAUACCAAAAUAACACUUGUUUAAUUUUGAAGUAAAUAUUCUUAAAGUGGGAAUGCCAUAUUCUUUACAGUGACAUAAACUCCAGAAUGUAAUUCUGUUGGUUAUUUUUUGUAAGUUUACUUUUUGUUGUCUAAGUACUCUCAUUUUAUGUAUGUUGUGAGCUUCAGAUGAGGUGUGGGAGUCUGAUUCCUUAAUGGCAUUUCCAGCUCCCCUAUCAUGUAAAGGUGUCUUAUUUUGGCUUAAAAAAAAAUAAAAUAAUUAAAAAAAAUAAAACGAACAAACAAACAAACACAUAAACGUAUUCUUCAUUUCAGCAAAAUUUAUCUGCAUUUUUCAUCCUGAACCCAAGUCAAGUAAGUGUAUUCAUGAGGUACAGAAAAUUAGAUUUUGUAUUUUGUAUGGAUAUGUUAUUAAAUAUUUUCUCUCUUCCUGGUAAACUAAGAGAUAUCUUAAGGUGAAAAUACUUACCUUAAUACUUAAGUAUUUGUAUCAACAACUGUAGAUAGCACUACUCAUGCUUUAGGGACCUGAAGAAAUAAAUAUGACAGACCAUAAUGCUCUGCCUGUAGAAAUAGCACUGUCCCAUUGAAGUUGGCAGUGCUGUAUUCUGACUUGUGCUUUGGUGAAUAUUUGACUGAAUGUCCUCAGCAGGUAAUUUUUAUGAACUACUAAAGGAGGUCAGCAUCGUGAAGUUAGCUUAAGUCUUACGGAACAGCUUCGGUAAUGUAAGUACAGAUAAACAUUAUCAACUAUUGUAUCACAGAAUCAUCUAGGUUGGAAGAGACCUCCAAGAUCACUUCCAAUUCCAACUCAAGUCCAACUUCUGACCUAACACUAACAAGUCCUGCACUAAACCAUAUCAUUUAUUGAUGUAAUUCCACUGAAGUCAAUAGAGUUACCUACCUUAGAAAAGAGAGCCUUGGAGAGUGCUGUUGUGGAUGGCAACGAGUGUGACUCAUCUGGCUGUAGAGCUGGAAAUGUAAUAUUAAAGAAAAUAAAUAACAAGACUGAAAAGAGCAUUAAAUGAGGAAAUGAGGCACGAAUGCGUGAAACAGAGGAUGAGCUGUUUGGUACUUUCAACACAUUUUCCAAAGCCUCUUCAUACCAGCUAAUGGAAUAUUACUAACUUUGGGAUCUUGACAGAUAGACUGAGAUCUGACAAUGUUUGUUAUUUGUCUUAUACAAGCCAGUUUAUUUCCUGAACAUGAAAAAUAACAGAAUGAACAUGAAGACCUUCUGACCAAGAUCUUUCUUCUUGGAAAAUAAACUGUGAUUCAGCAGCAGUAUAAGUUACAGGGCCAUCUCUUUCUGUACAUUUCCAUCACGGCUGCAUUCAUUAACGGAAAUUAAAAGAAGGUGGAUAUUGAAGUGAUGCUGCAGGAAACAGUCUUCCCAAAGAGCUGAACUUUCUGCUCCCUUGUUGCUCAUGGCAAACUCUGCUGACUCCUGUCACAACCCUGACUGGCAGCUUUUUCCCAGAGGUAAUGAAACAGGCUCCACUCAGGAAAUUCCUGUAAUUGCAUUAUUUUUCAGGUGCUGAAAACAUUCAUUUGUUGCCAAAGUUCUUGUGAAAGAAAAGACUAAUAUAGAAUAAUAGAGCAUAGGAGAGAGGUAGUGAAUUUUAUGCUUAAAGUUAGUGCUAAAGUAUAACAAAAAAAUUGUUAAUUAAUUUGUUCAGACAAUGAAUGGUAGUUGACUGCAUUGCAACGUUCCCCACAAUGACUUAAAAUUCUAUUUGAUUCUUUAAUAGAGGGACAUGAUUUUCAUGAUGUACAUGUAUUACUGUUUCAUGAUGCUGCAGCACCAGGUCAUGGUUUGCAGACAGAUGUCUUCUCAAACACUGACAUUCUUUCACACUUCGUAUCACAACAGAGAGUGAUAUUUCAAAAGAGUUAAAACCACUCAAUUUCCUACAGGUGAUCUUUUUCCAGAUAACUAAUUUAGACAUGCUGAAAAUGUAAACCUACUGUUAAAUUUUCAUUCACAAGGAGGACAUUUUUAACACAAUGUGGGGAUAAUUAAGGUGAUUGAGGUAAAGGAUGUUCUAUUUUUAUACUUUCUUUAAAAUUACCAUAUAUUAGAUUUAUGAAAAUCUUUUAGACCAAUUUAAUUUCAGAAUAUCUAAUUAUUAACUAAGCUACCUCACUAUAUGUCUAAAAAUAACAUAAUUAUGCAUUCCUUAAGAUCGCCAAAAUCCAUAUGCUAAAAGGCUAAGCACAAUAAAACGUAAUAGGAAACAGAUUUCAGAGUAUAGUAGGUUGUACUGCGUAUAGGCUGUUGUAUGGCCAAAUUCCUACAAAUAAAGGCUAUGAGCUAUGAUCUUGAAAUUCAGUUGUAUGUUAUUGUAUUGUUUUCCAAGUCCAAUGUAAAUAAUUAAGAAUCUUAAAUAAUAGAGAGUUAGAAACUCUGUUUUUGGCAGCUUGAAGACCUCUGCUGCUUGAUGUAAGAUGACUAUUAAUAAAGAAUAACUUACUUGAAACGUGAGUUAUGCUGACAUAGUAUCAAACGUGGGCUGAAUAGGUAAAAAGUAAUUAUUCUCAAGAAACACCAAGUAGUACUGUGAUAUUCCAAUAAUCCUCUUCUCUACAAGAAUGACGCAUCAAUCAUCAGAGAAAACUCAUUUUAGCUCUUCUCCCCUCUACUGCUGCUUCUUAAAUUCAGGAGCUGUGCCUCUUUGUAAUUGGCUUAGCGAGCAGCUCCUGCUCUUCUGCCCACCUUAUGUUUUGGCUUGAAUAUAGUAGCUUUGCACUUAGAGCAAAAUUAAGUAAAACACUUACCAGUCUGUGGAAUAAUGAGAAUUUAGAUGCUCAAGUCUAAAACCACCGUUUCUUUAUUUGCUGACAUCAGCUCCUGGAAGUGUGGUUCACAGCAAAUCUGAAAGGAAAUAAACAUACACUGCUGUUUGUUCCUAACUUUGUAAAGGUGUUUUCCAUUACAGACUCACUGGAGGAAAUAUGAAAUCAAGGAUAAAAACCGAAGAUUCCCAUAGUCAGGAGAAUGUCCUGAUCACUAGCUAGUAUAAAAUUGUUAAACAAACGGGUAGACUCCACUCCCAGUCUCUGACAUAUGAAACUUGUACACACUUACCUUCAAAUUUAACUACACCUAAACAUGUAAGUUGUAGACCAUGUGAAAAACUGAAGUCUAAUAAGAAACUGACAUAAAAAAAAGAGAUUUUUAAGUUUAAGAAAAAAAAUGGUUCCUUCCAAAAUUAAACAUUCUGACAAUGUGCUGCAAGGAAAUUUGAUGAUUCUAAAUUUCUUCUAGAAAUAGUU
This is a non-coding RNA of Anas platyrhynchos (mallard), 6103 nucleotides long. The record is from RefSeq and is a predicted model, not a curated record. NCBI's taxonomy places the organism in Eukaryota, Metazoa, Chordata, Aves, Anseriformes, Anatidae.